RNAcentral lists this ribosomal RNA (113 nucleotides) under Castor canadensis (American beaver). The record is from RNAcentral. Lineage: Eukaryota; Metazoa; Chordata; Mammalia; Rodentia; Castoridae.
AUCUACGGCCAUAUCACCCUGAGCACAUCAGAUUUCAUCUGAUCUCAGAAGCUCAGCAGGGUCGGGCCUGAUUAGGACUUGGAUGGGAGAAAUAAACAUGGAUACUGUAAGUA